This 682-nucleotide long non-coding RNA is filed under the name Capsicum annuum. RNAcentral describes it as "long non-coding RNA (CANN_LNC009902)". The record is from RNAcentral. Lineage: Eukaryota; Viridiplantae; Streptophyta; Magnoliopsida; Solanales; Solanaceae.
CCCUCCAAACCAUCGUUGCAGCUCCCACUAUUAAAAACAAACAGGGAGAAACCAUCAUUGCAGCUCCCACAAUUAAAAAUAAAUAGAGGGUAGAGGGUUUCAGCAAAUGAUCAGCGACCACCGCUAGUGCAUUCACGAACAAAGUGCCCGUUUUCACCACACUUAAAGCAAACGCCUUCGCCACCACCUCAUCCACCAUCACCAUCACACUCAGCCACCCCGUCUCCCAUCCCCCAUCCACCACCACCACCACACAUCAAUCCACCAUUUCCACCCUUGUCCUCCACCCUAUCCCACACCACAAUCACCACAUUAUUAGUACCAAAUAAAUCAUCCAAUGUACAUAAGUUUUUCAAGUAUCCAAUUCGAAGAGAAAUUCAUGCUCCUUGUAGAAAUUUAAGAUUUGGGCAUAAACAAUUGAAGGGUAAAUUGGGUAAUUCAAAGAGAAAUUCAUGCUCCUUGUAGGAAUUCAAGAUUUGGGUAUAAGUAACUGAAGGGUAAAUUGGAUUAUUUAGCUCAUAAAAUGGGUAAUUCGAUUCGAAAGAAAGAGAAAUUUUUCUUUUUUCGUAAAGAUUGCUUCUUGAUACAACAAAGAUUCAACCUUUUUUUUUUAUUUUCUAAAAUGAGUGUUGAACAUCGAGAAAAUAUAUUGGUGACUGUCGAAGCUGAUUUAGUUGGAAAC